UACGUAGGGGGCGAGCGUUGUCCGGAUUUAUUGGGCGUAAAGAGCGUGUAGGCGGCUUUGCAAGUCCGUUGUGAAAACUCGAGGCUCAACCUCGAGACGCCGGUGGAAACUGCAAAGCUAGAGUCCGGAAGAGGAGAGUGGAAUUCCUGGUGUAGCGGUGAAAUGCGCAGAUAUCAGGAAGAACACCCGUGGCGAAGGCGGCUCUCUGGGACGGUACUGACGCUGAGACGCGAAAGCGUGGGGAGCGAACAGG
This 253-nucleotide ribosomal RNA is filed under the name uncultured bacterium. RNAcentral describes it as "partial 16S ribosomal RNA". It matches the Rfam family "Bacterial small subunit ribosomal RNA", at positions 524 to 776 of the family's 1533-position model. The record is from RNAcentral.